GAUCAGAUACCCUCGUAGUCCCAUUUCGUUACAUCAAACGAUGGGAUCUUGCUUUGGGCACGAGCUUACCAGAAAUGUGAGACAUUCCCCUCCGGGGGUAGUAUACACGCAAGUGCGAAACUUGAAGGAAUUGACGGAAGGGCACCACAAGAUGUGGAGCAUGUGGCUUAAUUUGACUCAACGCGGGGAAUCUUACCGGGUCCGGACACACUGAGGAUUGACAGGCGCAAGUCCUUUCAUGAUUGUGUGAUAGGUGGUGCAUGGCCGUUCUUAGUUCGUGGAAUAAUCUGUCUGCUUAAUUGCGUUAACGAACGAGACCCCAACCUAACAGAAGGGGACUGUUAAAAGGAAGGUUGGGGCAAUAACAGGUCUGUGAUGCCCUUAGAUGUUCCGGGCUGCACACGUGCUACAAUGAUCUAUGCACUAAGCAUCGGUAUCAUAGUGGGGACAGACCAUUGUUUGGUCUCGCUUUAACUAGGAAUGCCUUGUACAGGUGGUUCAACAGACCGCCUGUACGUCCCUGCCCUUUGUACACACCGCCCGUCGCUCUUACCGAUGGACUACUCCAUGAGUCUGAGGGUGGCAUGGUCUAGAGGAAAGAGAAGUCGUAACAAGGCAUCUGUAGGUGAACCUGCAGAAGGAUCA
This 645-nucleotide ribosomal RNA is filed under the name uncultured eukaryote. RNAcentral describes it as "bacterial SSU rRNA". It matches the Rfam family "Eukaryotic small subunit ribosomal RNA", at positions 1006 to 1828 of the family's 1831-position model. The record is from RNAcentral.